RNAcentral lists this ribosomal RNA (564 nucleotides) under uncultured bacterium. RNAcentral's name for it is "bacterial SSU rRNA". It matches the Rfam family "Bacterial small subunit ribosomal RNA", at positions 335 to 915 of the family's 1533-position model. The record is from RNAcentral.
ACUCCUACGGGAGGCAGCAGUGGGGAAUCUUGCACAAUGGAGGCAACUCUGAUGCAGCGACGCCGCGUGAGCGAUGAAGCCCUUCGGGGUGUAAAGCUCUUUCGUCAGGGAAGAUCAUGACGGUACCUGGAGAAGCAGCUGCGGCUAACUACGUGCCAGCAGCCGCGGUAAUACGUAGGCAGCGAGCGUUGUUCGGAAUUACUGGGCGUAAAGGGCUCGUAGGCGGCCAACUAAGUCAGACGUGAAAUCCCUCGGCUUAACCGGGGAACUGCGGGACAUACUGCCCGGCUCGAGGAAGGUAGAGGCCGGUGGAACGAUAGGUGGAGCGGUGGAAUGCGUAGAGAUCUAUCGGAACGCCAAAGGUGAAGACAGCCGGCUGGGCCUUUCCUGACGCUGAGGCGCGACAGCGUGGGGAGCAAACAGGAUUAGAUACCCUGGUAGUCCACGCCGUAAACGAUGGGCACUAGAUGCUUGGGGGAGCGACCCUCCGAGUGUCGGCGCUAACGCAUUAAGUGCCCCGCCUGGGGAGUACGGCCGCAAGGCUGAAACUUAAAGGAAUUGACG